GGGCGAUGAAGGCCUUCGGGUUGUAAAGCCCUUUUAUGGGGGAAGAGACCAGGACUGUACCCCUAGAAUAAGCGUCGGCUAACCUACGUGCCAUCAGUCGCGGUAAAACGUAGGAUGCAAGCGUUGUCCGGAUCUACUGGGCGUAAAGACGCGUUGACGCGGUUCCGUAAGUUGGUCGUGAAAGCCCCGGGCUUAACCCGGGGAGGUCGUUCACUACUGCGGGACUUGAGGGCAGCGUAGGGAGGCUGAAUUCCCGGUGUAGCGCUGAAGUGCGUAGAUCUCGGGAGGAACGCCAGUGGCGAAGGCUGCCUCCUGGCCUGUUUCUGACGCUGAAGGCGAAAGCUAGGCGAGCGAACGGGAUUAGCAACCCCGGUAGUCCUAGCCGUAAACGAUGGAUGCUGGCUCUGGGGGCUAUAGAUCCCCUCCGUGCCGAAGCUAACGCGUUAAGCAUCCCGCCUGGGGAUUACGGCCGCAAGGCUUAAACUCAUACGAAUUGACGGGGGCCCGCACAAGCAGCGGAGCGUGUGGUUUAAUUCGAUGCUACACGAAGUACCUUACCUGGGCUUGACAUGUAGGUAGUAUUGAUGCGAAAGCGGAACGACCCUUCGGGGAGCCUACACAGGUGCUGCAUGGCUGUCGUCAGUUCG
RNAcentral lists this ribosomal RNA (647 nucleotides) under uncultured organism. RNAcentral's name for it is "bacterial SSU rRNA". It matches the Rfam family "Bacterial small subunit ribosomal RNA", at positions 403 to 1062 of the family's 1533-position model. The record is from RNAcentral.